Molecule: ribosomal RNA, 605 nt
Filed under: Leucogloea sp. JAC13103
Lineage: Eukaryota; Fungi; Basidiomycota; Atractiellomycetes; Atractiellales; Helicogloeaceae
Description: eukaryotic LSU rRNA
Rfam family: 5.8S ribosomal RNA (bases 184-337)
Source: RNAcentral
ACAAGGUUUCCGUAGGUGAACCUGCGGAAGGAUCAUUAGUGAAUAAUGGAGACUCCUUGUGAGCUCCAGACCCUCACAUCCAAACACUGUGCACUGUUGAUGAAAGCCUUCUCUAAUCAGAGAGGUUACUAGUCUUUUUUAACAAACACAAGUCAUUGUAUGGUUAUUUUUAUAAUAAAAUAAAACUUUCAACAACGGAUCUCUUGGCUCCCACAUCGAUGAAGAACGCAGCGAAAUGCGAUAAGUAAUGUGAAUUGCAGAACUCAGUGAAUCAUCGAAUCUUUGAACGCAUCUUGCGCUCCUUGGUAUUCCUUGGAGCAUGUCUGUCUGAGUGUCAUGAAAUUCUCAACCUUCUAUGGUUUGCUAGUCAGACCUUGGGAGGCUUGGAUCAUGGGUGUCUGCUGGAGACCUUGUGUCAUCAGCUCACCCUAAAUGUAUCAGUGGCACCGCUUAGCUUGGUGGCUUGACCUGAUGUGAUAGACUUAUCAUCAGGGAUCUCCUUUGUGGAGGGCCUCAGCUGAUGCAAUAGCUGCUUCUAACUCUUGAUGACUUUUGUUAUCAAUCUGUGUCUUAGACCUCAGAUCAGGCAGGACUACCCGCUGAAC